AGAGUUUGAUCCUGGCUCAGAGCGAACGCUGGCGGCGUGCUUAACACAUGCAAGUCGAACGCGCAGCAUCCUGUAGCAAUACAGGGUGUGGGCGCGUGGCGAACGGGUGCGUAACACGUGGAUAACCUUCCUUCAGGUGGGGAAUAACCCAGUGAAAAUUGGGCUAAUACCGCAUAACAUGACGAUGCCACAUGGUGUUGUCUUCAAAGCCGCAAGGCGCCAGAAGAGGGAUCCGCGGCCGAUUAGCUUGUUGGCGAGGUAAUGGCUCACCAAGGCUUUGAUCGGUAGCCGGACUGAGAGGUUGGCCGGCCACACUGGAACUGAGACACGGUCCAGACUCCUACGGGAGGCAGCAGUGGGGAAUCUUGCACAAUGGACGAAAGUCUGAUGCAGCAACGCCGCGUGGGGGAUGAAGCUUUUCGGAGUGUAAACCCCUUUCGACCCGGAAGAAUGCCCGCAAGGGUUUGACGGUACGGGUAUAAGAAGCCCCGGCUAACUACGUGCCAGCAGCCGCGGUAAUACGUAGGGGGCCAGCGUUGCUCGGAAUUACUGGGCGUAAAGGGUCCGUAGGCGGUGUGGCAAGUCGGGAGUGAAAUCUCUGGGCUUAACCCAGAGGCUGCUUCCGAAACUGCCAUGCUAGAGUGUGAGAGAGGCGAGUGGAAUUACGGGUGUAGCGGUGAAAUGCGUAGAUAUCCGUAGGAACAUCCGAGGCGAAGGCGGCUCGCUGGAUCACAACUGACGCUGAGGGACGAAAGCUAGGGGAGCAAACAGGAUUAGAUACCCUGGUAGUCCU
This 793-nucleotide ribosomal RNA is filed under the name uncultured soil bacterium. RNAcentral's name for it is "bacterial SSU rRNA". It matches the Rfam family "Bacterial small subunit ribosomal RNA", at positions 8 to 797 of the family's 1533-position model. The record is from RNAcentral.